Long non-coding RNA from Nicotiana tabacum (common tobacco), 699 nucleotides. RefSeq lists it as uncharacterized. The record is from RefSeq and is a predicted model, not a curated record. NCBI's taxonomy places the organism in Eukaryota, Viridiplantae, Streptophyta, Magnoliopsida, Solanales, Solanaceae.
CUAAGCAUAAGAGGACCUAAUUUCCUAGACCUAGAUGUGGGAGAGAUCUGGAUCUGCCGUUUUUCAUAGCCUUCCCCCCUCGAACGUCUUCUUCUUCGCCUUUCACACCCAAAACCAGAAAACCUUGAAUACCCCUAAUAGCUCCAGCCGCAUCUCUCCACCACUGAUCCGUCAGUCCUUCACCUCACCCCAAACAACACAUCUUCCUCAGCCAUCAGGCCCAUCUCCCCGCCCUUUCUGAGUAACUUCGCCAUUUCCAGCGGUAGAACUCCAUUUCGAAGCAUCAACGUCAAACAUCAGUUCUGGGCUACAGCAAAGGCAACCUAUAUUCAAACACUAAAUACCAGUUCUAGGCUGCAGGCAUUUUCAUAGUUAGUUUUGCCGUGAGGUUUGGGGUCUGCUCGAGGUUCACCGUCGAAGCUUCGUUCGCGGUCCGAGCUCCUGCUACUGUUGCUCCUUCCGGCCAGAUUUAGUUCGUCAGAGUUUGUUGUAACUGAGUUCUUGUUAAUAUAAUUGAGGCGUAGCUGGUCCCGCUCCCGAGUGCUGAUCAUUUCCAGCUUCAGGCGGUCCUAGGAGUCUUUAGGUAGCUAUUGGCGUUCAUAGCCCGGAGCUCCUCCCUAUCUUAUUUCUUUAUGUCUUUAGUCUAUGCAUUAAACUCUGUAGUUGACUUGGAGUAUUCCAGUUUUGUUUAGAUGCUCA